RNAcentral lists this ribosomal RNA (694 nucleotides) under Pantoea agglomerans. RNAcentral's name for it is "bacterial SSU rRNA". It matches the Rfam family "Bacterial small subunit ribosomal RNA", at positions 789 to 1483 of the family's 1533-position model. Lineage: Bacteria; Pseudomonadati; Pseudomonadota; Gammaproteobacteria; Enterobacterales; Erwiniaceae. The record is from RNAcentral.
GGUAGUCCACGCCGUAAACGAUGUCGACUUGGAGGUUGUUCCCUUGAGGAGUGGCUUCCGGAGCUAACGCGUUAAGUCGACCGCCUGGGGAGUACGGCCGCAAGGUUAAAACUCAAAUGAAUUGACGGGGGCCCGCACAAGCGGUGGAGCAUGUGGUUUAAUUCGAUGCAACGCGAAGAACCUUACCUACUCUUGACAUCCACGGAAUUUGGCAGAGAUGCAUUAGUGCCUUCGGGAACSGUGAGACAGGUGCUGCAUGGCUGUCGUCAGCUCGUGUUGUGAAAUGUUGGGUUAAGUCCCGCAACGAGCGCAACCCUUAUCCUUUGUUGCCAGCGAUUCGGUCGGGAACUCAAAGGAGACUGCCGGUGAUAAACCGGAGGAAGGUGGGGAUGACGUCAAGUCAUCAUGGCCCUUACGAGUAGGGCUACACACGUGCUACAAUGGCGCAUACAAAGAGAAGCGACCUCGCGAGAGCAAGCGGACCUCACAAAGUGCGUCGUAGUCCGGAUCGGAGUCUGCAACUCGACUCCGUGAAGUCGGAAUCGCUAGUAAUCGUGGAUCAGAAUGCCACGGUGAAUACGUUCCCGGGCCUUGUACACACCGCCCGUCACACCAUGGGAGUGGGUUGCAAAAGAAGUAGGUAGCUUAACCUUCGGGAGGGCGCUUACCACUUUGUGAUUCAUGACUGGGGUGA